RNAcentral lists this ribosomal RNA (251 nucleotides) under uncultured bacterium. Its description in RNAcentral is "partial 16S ribosomal RNA". It matches the Rfam family "Bacterial small subunit ribosomal RNA", at positions 524 to 775 of the family's 1533-position model. The record is from RNAcentral.
GACGUAGGGCGCGAGCGUUGUCCGGAUUUAUUGGGCGUAAAGAGCUUGUAGGCGGUUUGUCGCGUCUGCUGUGAAAUUUCGGGGCUCAACCCCGAACUUGCAGUGGGUACGGGCAGACUAGAGUGUGGUAGGGGAGACUGGAAGUUCCUGGUGUAGCGGUGAAAUGCGCAGAUAUCAGGAGGAACACCGAUGGCGAAGGCAGGUCUCUGGGCCAUAACUGACGCUGAGAAGCGAAGCAUGGGAGCGAACAG